Molecule: ribosomal RNA, 469 nt
Filed under: uncultured Anaerolineaceae bacterium
Lineage: Bacteria; Bacillati; Chloroflexota; Anaerolineae; Anaerolineales; Anaerolineaceae
Description: bacterial SSU rRNA
Rfam family: Bacterial small subunit ribosomal RNA
Source: RNAcentral
CUACAAAGGAAUUGACGGGGCCCGCACAAGCAGCGGAGCGUGUGGUUUAAUUCGAUGUUACACGAAGAACCUUACCAGGGUUUGACAUGCAAGUGGUAGGAAGCCGAAAGGUGACCGACCCUUCGGGGAGCUUGCACAGGUGCUGCAUGGCUGUCGUCAGCUCGUGUCGUGAGAUGUUCGGUUAAGUCCGCUAACGAGCGCAACCCUCGCUGUGUGUUAUAUGUGUCACACGGGACUGCCGGUCUUAAGCCGGAGGAAGGUGGGGAUGAUGUCAAGUCAUCAUGGCCCUUAUGUCCAGGGCUACACACGUGCUACAAUGGGCGAGACAGAGCGACGCGAAGCCGCGAGGUGGAGCAAAUCGCAGAAAAUCGCCCUCAGUUCGGAUUGGAGUCUGAAACCCGACUCCAUGAAGGUGGAAUCGCUAGUAAUCGCGCAUCAGCAUGGCGCGGUGAAUACGUUCCCGGGCCUU